Molecule: ribosomal RNA, 442 nt
Filed under: uncultured bacterium
Lineage: Bacteria
Description: partial 16S ribosomal RNA
Rfam family: Bacterial small subunit ribosomal RNA
Source: RNAcentral
CCUACGGGUGGCAGCAGUGGGGAAUAUUGGGCAAUGGGCGCAAGCCUGACCCAGCAACGCCGCGUGAAGGAAGACGGCUCUCGGGUUGUAAACUUCUUUUGUCAGGGAAGAGUAGAAGACGGUACCUGACGAAUAAGCCACGGCUAACUACGUGCCAGCAGCCGCGGUAAUACGUAGGUGGCAAGCGUUGUCCGGAUUUACUGGGUGUAAAGGGCGUGUAGCCGGGUUGACAAGUCAGUUGUGAAAUCCUGCGGCUUAACCGCAGAACUGCAUUUGAAACUGGUGAUCUUGAGUACUGGUGAGGUAGACGGAAUUCCUGGUGUAGCGGUGAAAUGCGUAGAUAUUAGGAGGAACACCAGUGGCGAAGGCGGUCUGCUGGACAGCAACUGACGGUGAGGCGCGAAAGCGUGGGGAGCAAACAGGAUUAGAUACCCCAGUAGUC